RNAcentral lists this unclassified non-coding RNA (398 nucleotides) under soil metagenome. Its description in RNAcentral is "partial contains 5.8S ribosomal RNA, internal transcribed spacer 2, and large subunit ribosomal RNA". The stretch from base 1 to 105 matches the Rfam family "5.8S ribosomal RNA", at positions 50 to 154 of the family's 154-position model. RNAcentral also lists the same sequence under 2 other names. The record is from RNAcentral.
GAAAUGCGAUACGUAAUGUGAAUUGCAGAAUUCAGUGAAUCAUCGAAUCUUUGAACGCAUAUUGCGCUCUCUGGUAUUCCGGAGAGCAUGCUUGUUUGAGUAUCAGUAAACACCUCAACUUCCAUAUCUUUUUUGAAAUGGGAGUUGGACUUGAGUGAUCCCAACGCUUUUCCUUACCGAAAAGUGGCGGGUUACUUGAAAUGCAGGUGCAGCUGGACUUUUCUCUGAGCUAUAAGCAUAUCUAUUUAGUCUGCCUAAAAAACAGAUUAUUACCUUUGCUGCAGCUAACAUAAAGGAGAUUAGUUCUUGUGCUGACUGAUGCAGGAUUCACAAAGACAGGCUUCGGCCGACUUUGUAAACUCGAUCUCAAAUCAAGUAAGACUACCCGCUGAACUUAA